RNAcentral lists this ribosomal RNA (253 nucleotides) under uncultured bacterium. RNAcentral describes it as "partial 16S ribosomal RNA". It matches the Rfam family "Bacterial small subunit ribosomal RNA", at positions 524 to 776 of the family's 1533-position model. The record is from RNAcentral.
UACGAGGGGUGCAAGCGUUAUUCGGAAUUAUUGGGCGUAAAGGGUGCGUAGGCGGCACAUUAAGUCAACUGUUAAAUUCCUCGGCCUAACCGAGGCCAUGCGGUAGAUACUGGUGUGCUAGAGGAUGGAAGAGAGAAGUGGAAUUCUCGGAGUAGCGGUAAAAUGCGUAGAUCUCGAGAGGAACACCAAUGGCGAAGGCAGCUUCUUGGUCCAUUUCUGACGCUGAGGCACGAAAGCGUGGGGAGCAAACAGG